This 1486-nucleotide long non-coding RNA is filed under the name Homo sapiens (human). RNAcentral describes it as "HSALNT0343963". Lineage: Eukaryota; Metazoa; Chordata; Mammalia; Primates; Hominidae. The record is from RNAcentral.
CACCAAAAUCUCUACCUACUGAAAACUUCUGAAGUUUUCAGUAGGUAGAGAUUUUGGUGGGGUUUGUAAUUUAUUACACUUUGAUUAAGGAUGAGGCUAAGUAUUCUGAAUUUUCCUUAAAUAUUAAAGUUACAAAGAAAGGCCACAUGUAUCUUAAAUUAAUGAAUUUAGAGUGGGAAUUCAUAAGAAAGCAGCACUUCUUUAGUUUAUAAAUUUGGAAAUUUUAUUUAAUUCCAUUAAAUGAUGUUUGGAAUACUGCAAACUAAAUCUUAAUGUGUAGACCCAGAUACAUUUUAAAAUAUUAUUUUUCUGUCAUUUCAAUAUAUAUUUAUUAAAGCAUAUUGUUUAAGCAAAAUAAAAUAUACCACAGGUGUGAAAUUACAGCUUGUAAUUUUGCUUUGUUUUCUUUUGUUUGUUUUGUUUUGUUGUUGUUGUUUUUUUGAGACAGGGCCUCACUUUGUCACCCAGGCUGGAGUUCAGUGGCAUCAUCAUGGUUCACUGCAACCUCCACCUCUCAAGCACAAGUAAUCCUCCUACUUCAGCCUCCUGAGUAGCUGGGACUAUAGGUGCACACGACCACCCCAAUUCUUUGUUUUUCUCUCUUCUUUCUCUCUCUCUCUCAUUCCUUCCCUCCCUCCCUCCUUCCUUCCUUCCCUCCCCUUCUUUCCCUUUCUUUCUUUCCUUUCUUUCUUUCCUUCUUUCUUUUUCUUUCUUUCUUCUUUCUUUCCUUCCUUCCUUCCUUCUUUCGUACAGAUGAGUUUUAGCCAUGUUCUAAAUUUCUAGGCCUAUUUUGAUAACUCGUCAAUUUUAUUUUUAAUAGGUAACUCUGAAUUCUUAAAAUAACUUGACACUCAUAGGAGAAUAAUGUAACAAAGUCAUAUAUAGGAAAUUAGUUUAUCUUUUCAGAUAAACUUACCUAACUAUGUUGUAAAGCAUUUGCACAAGUUUUUCAUUUUAUUCCAUUACCUUAUUUAAGGCUCGGGUGCUGAAAAUGGGAAUGAUAGAGAGCAAAGAUACUCAGGUUUAGGCCGGGUGCGGUAGCUCACACCUGUAAUCCCAGCACUUUGGGAGGCGGAGGUGGGUGGAUCACGAGGUCAGGAGAUCGAAACCCUCCUGGACAACAUGGUGAAACCUGGUCUCUACUAAAAAUACAAAAAUUAGCCAGGUGUGGUGGCAUGUGCCUGUAAUCCCAGCUACUCGGGAGACUGAGGCAGGAAAAUGGCUUGAACCAGGGAGUCAGAGGUUGCAGUGAGCCGAGAUCGUGCCACUGCACUCCAGUCUGGCGAUAGAGUGGGACUCCGAAAAAACAAAACAAAACAAAACAAAACAAAACAAAACAAAACACCAAGAUACUCAACUUUGGGCCAAUAAUUUUAGGACCACCAACAUAUUGUGAUUCAACGCAUGAACUGAAUUGGCUCAGAUGGGACUUAUGCUUUGGUUUCCUUCUUUGGUGUGAAGGAAUAGGGCCCCAAACAGGUUAAAU